AAUGCAUAUUGAAAAAAAUAUAUGCGGAAAUUUGGUGGGCACAUUGUUAAAUAUUGAAGGAAAGACAAAGGAUACAACGAACGCUCGAUUAGACUUACAAGCUUUGAAGAUAAGAAAGGACCUACACUUGAUAUAGGUCGAUAACAGAUUUGUAAAACCACAUGCAGCAUACACAUUAAAAAAUAGUGAAUGGAUAUCGUUUUGUAAGUAUUUGACAUUAGUGAAAUUCCCUGAUGGAUUUAUAUCUAACACAUCACGAUGUAUCAAUGACAGAUGGAAAAAUAUCGGGGCUGAAAACACACGACUGUCAUAUGUUGCUUCACAGACUACUCCCUAUUGGUAUUCGAGCAUACUUACCGAAGAACGUAUCCACUGCUAUUGUUGAGUUGUGUACAUUCUUUCGCGACUUAUGUGCAAAGACAAUAUGUGUAAGUGAUUUGAACAGACUACAGGCAGACAUCAUAGUCAUACUUUGUAAAUUGGAGAGAAUAUUCCCACUUACCUUUUUUGAUGUAAUGGUACACCUUACAGUUCAUCUACCAUAUGAAACCAAAGUGAUGGGUCCAGUUAGUUACAGUUGAAUGUAUCCUAUUAAAAUAAGUUUACGAAUAUUAAAACAAUUUGUACGGAACAAAACACGUCCUAAGGGGUCUAUAGCGGAAGCAUAUGCAAUGAAUGAAUCAUGGAACUUCUGCUCGCGAUAUCUAAGUGAGAUUGAAACGAGAUUCAAUAGAGAUGAACGAAAUGAUGAUAACAUUUUCGAUCACGAGAUAUUUGGUGAAUUUGAAUUAUUUAGGCAGAGGGUACGACCAUUAGGGGCGUCAACCUUACGAACACUAUCAGUGGAGGAAAAGAAUAUUGCACAUUGGUAUAUUCUCAACAAUUGUAAAGAAAUAACAGACUAUCGCAAGUACGUUUCAAACUUUUUCCUUUUCUAAAUCCUAGGGUAUCUCCUUUGAUAUAACAUUUAAAUGAUCAAUUUUGUAGGCAUUUGAGGUUAAUUCGUCGUGAAGCUCAAAGCGCCUCUGACUUAUAUAUAAAACAUCAAUGCAAAUUUCCCGAUUGGUUCAAAUCUCAGGUAUACAUAGUCAUUUUGUAGGCAACAGUUGAGGGAUGAUUCAUUUUUCGUAUUCAUUUUUAAUGUAAAAGUAAUUAUCAGGUUCUACAACGACGCGAGAGAAAAGAUAUCUCCGAUGAUUUCUUUUCACUUGCAAUGGAACCUUCGUCUGAGGUGCGCUCUUUUAAUGGAUGCAUUGUUAAUGGGGUACGGUUUCACACUAUAGAGCAUGAUAAUCAUCGAGCUACACAAAAUAGUGGAGUCCUAGUGGCCAGGGAGAUCAGUGAGAACACAAGUGUGGAUAAAAUUUCUACGGUGUUGUAGACGAAGUAUUAGAUUUCCAAUAUGCGAAUAGAAGACGCGUUUUCUUGUUGAAGUGUAGAUGGUUUGACACAGAUAACAACAAAAGUAAUAGGACACAUGUGGAUUUAGGAUACAAAUCGAUCAAUACAUCAUACUUUUGGUAUGUCGACGAACCUUUCAUCUUUACUAUCCAAGCACAACAAGUCUUUGACAUUGAUGAUAUCAAACAUGGUAGCAAUUGGAAAGUUGUUCAAGUAGUCCAAAAUAAACGAAUAUGGGAUGUACCAGAAGUAGAUGAUGUUGAAAACGCACAACUAGAUUUACUAGAAAUUAUCGGUGGCGUCCGAGUGGAUGAAACCAUUGAGGAGGUUACUUUAUGCAGAGUUGACGUUGAUCCUACAGUUGUGGAAAGACCAAUUAUUGUACAUGGCGAUCAUGACUUCAUAAACGAUGAUGAUGAAGAAUAAUUAUCUCCCAAUAACAGUUCAAGUGCUGAUGAAUAAUUUGAAUUAGAUUACGAUGAUGAGUAAUGAUAUACGAUAUCAACCCCUAAUAGACAACGGGAGGCUGAUGAAGAAUUCCAGGAGUUAUAUCUAGGCAAUACGGUAUCUUCUGUGGGUGAUACUUUAGAUAGUAGCUCAGCAUCCAAUCGGAAGAAAUGAGAGCAUUCGCGGAACAUCAAGUUGGAAAGAUACGUCCAAAAACAUGGGAGAAUUACAACCAUGAUAAAUAAGGGGGAGACGAAAUCGAUAUCUCAACAUUCGGUACGAUUUAGUAAUGCGAUCGGCAUCGCCGUGAGAUAUACAUUUCCAGUACUUUAUCGUACUUUUGCUGAGGUUUCAAACGAGUUCAUAGAAUUGGCUAAAAGUCAAUUAUUGGCUCAUUUCGAACUUGAUCUGUCCAGUCAACCACUUAACCGUUUUAUAGAACAUCAAAUGCAAAACUCCUUCAAAAAAUUUAGAGCAGAUUUGUACAGACAUUACAGAAAAUGUGGAGAUCCUCAGCAAGUACAUGCUAGUUUGCCUAGUUGGCUUAAAAAUAGGCCAGAAGAUUGGUACUUUUUGUGUGACCGCUUCGAGAGUGAAGUGUUUCAGGAAAUGUUUGUGACGAAUAGGAAGAAUAGAGAGAAAUUACCAUUCAACCACGUAGGUGGAUCGAAGUCAUUCCUGCAAAUUUAGGUAGAGUUGCAAGCAAAGGAGGGUCGAGAAAUAGGAUGUGUUGACCUAUUUAGGGAAACACAUUCUAAAGGUGGCAAGUUUGUAAACGAGGCAACUGAAAGUGCACAUCAUCAAAUGUUGGAAUUACAAUCCAGCCCCACUGUAGAAGGUUCUCAACCACUAACAGGGUAUGAAAUCUGUGAGACGAUUUUGGGUAGACGACCCGGAUAUUCAAAAGGUUUAGGUUGGGGCCCUAAGCCUAAGUCAAGAAGAAGUAGCAUCUCAUCAAGCUCGUCAUCUACUCAAAGAACGAAGGCGAGAAUAGAUGAAUUGAGAGUCAAUUUCCAACAGUCUCAGUUGAGGAUUAAGGAACUUGAAGACGUUCAAAAAAGAAUGCAAGAGGAUCAUGCAAAACAAAUGGGAGAAAUGAAAAAGAUGAUUGAACACAUGGUACGAUCACAUAGAGGAGACCACCAAAUUAGAAUGCUGUUUGGAGAUGAGCUGUGACAAAUAAAUAGCGGAAUCAUGGAUAGGGAACUAAGGCAAGUCGGAAAAAAGACAGUCGAAUCAAAAUGAAGAUGUUGUAUUCGAGAAUUGUUCUAGAUGUUGUUUUGAUUUUACUUCUUUUAUGUAUUUGUGAUAUGAAUGUUUAUCGACUUCGUUUAGAUAUUGUAAUUUCUAGUAUCGACUUCGUUUCGAUAUUGUAAUUUUCUACUUGUUAUAAA
This is a non-coding RNA of Benincasa hispida (wax gourd), 3242 nucleotides long. NCBI's taxonomy places the organism in Eukaryota, Viridiplantae, Streptophyta, Magnoliopsida, Cucurbitales, Cucurbitaceae. The record is from RefSeq and is a predicted model, not a curated record.